AUCGAGCAGCGGUAGGAACUGGCUAAGUGCAUCGAAGCAUCGACGCUAUUUCUGCACACACACAUAUACCAAGAGCCCAAGAGGUCAAUGAUUCCGCGGUCCUGUGAAGGCGGUGUAAUCAUCGAGCAAACUAGCACCAGUUGAAGCGGGCGCAAAUGUGACCUAAUACACGCGGGGGCAGUCACCUCUACCCGUUGUUAUACCGCUGCAAUCGCGAGGGAUUCUAUUUGUAUCUCGUUACUUCCGAGUGGCUACAAGUUUGUCGGUACUUUUCUUUGGAGCAACAAAAGACGAGCAAUAAAAAUUUAUGAAGGUCGCUUAACGCGAAGCUCUCGAUGUGAGUCUUAUCGUUUUAACAAAACGUCGGCUCGAAUUACGCCUAGCUCUUUAUCGCAUCACCACGACUAUUUCUAUCAAGGACUGUGCUUACGUCGUACGUUGGCCGACACAUUGGUGUAUGGCUGAGCCACCUAAAUAAACGAGAUUUAGGGCCAGUUUCAUUAAGGUUGAUUAGCGUUGACCGUAAUUAACUGAAUUUUCUUCUCGUGCAUGCUACGGUCAAAGUGAAUCUAAAAAAAAUAUACGAAAUCACUAAUUAGGGUUAAUAAUAAAGGCCAUUGGUGCAAUUGACUUUUAGUCUCGUAUGAAUUGAUAUUCGCUCUUCGUACAGUCUGAACAAAAAUUUGAUAUCGUCUUUGCAUAACAAAAAUUAUAA
Molecule: long non-coding RNA, 715 nt
Organism: Acromyrmex echinatior (Panamanian leafcutter ant)
Lineage: Eukaryota; Metazoa; Arthropoda; Insecta; Hymenoptera; Formicidae
Source: RefSeq, a predicted model, not a curated record